UAUCAGUCAUGCAUAGCAUAUCAAUAAGCGGAGGAAAAGAAACUAACAAGGAUUCCCCUAGUAACGGCGAGUGAAGCGGGAAGAGCUCAAAUUUGAAAUCUUAAAGGGUUUCCCUUUACGAAUUGUAGUUUAAAGAAGUGUUUUCUGUUGGAGUUUCGGUAAAAGUUCUUUGGAAUAGGACAUCAUAGAGGGUGAGAAUCCCGUAUUUGACCGUUACUUUCCAGCUGUGUGAUACACUUUCAAAGAGUCGGAUUGUUUGGGAAUGCAGUCCAAAAUGGGUGGUAAAUUUCAUCUAAAGCUAAAUAUUGGCGAGAGACCGAUAGCGAACAAGUACCGUGAGGGAAAGAUGAAAAGAACCUUGAAAAGAGAGUUAAACAGUACGUGAAAUUGUCAAAAGGGAAGCGUUUGACACCAGUGUUGUUUUUCCGAAAAUCAAUUACGAAUGUUUUGUUUUUGAGGAGUUAUGACUUCAUCGGCUUGCUUCUCUCUUUACGAAACUUUCUUAAUGCACUUUUCGGUUAACAAGUCAACAUCAAUUCCUUUUGUUGUAAAAAGGUAAGAGGAAGGUGGCUUGCGCUUCGGCUCAAGUGUUUAUAGCCUUGUACCCUCUGCAAUCGGAGAGACUGAGGUCUGCAGCGUAGAUCCUUCGGGGUUAGAUACAUUUGUGCUAAGCUACAGCUUUUCAUAGACAACUUGUUGACUAUGUUAAGUCUUGUCGACUUACUCGCUUAUGCUAUUUUACCUACGCUUAGGAUGUUGAUCUCUCACAGUCGAGC
This 776-nucleotide ribosomal RNA is filed under the name uncultured Neocallimastigales. Its description in RNAcentral is "partial large subunit ribosomal RNA". It matches the Rfam family "Eukaryotic large subunit ribosomal RNA", at positions 22 to 645 of the family's 3401-position model. The record is from RNAcentral. Lineage: Eukaryota; Fungi; Neocallimastigomycota; Neocallimastigomycetes; Neocallimastigales.